This is a small nucleolar RNA of Artibeus jamaicensis (Jamaican fruit-eating bat), 130 nucleotides long. RefSeq annotates it as small nucleolar RNA SNORA51. The transcript has a single exon. NCBI's taxonomy places the organism in Eukaryota, Metazoa, Chordata, Mammalia, Chiroptera, Phyllostomidae. The record is from RefSeq and is a predicted model, not a curated record.
GGCCUUCCAGUGCUUAGCACAGGCUGUGUUCUUUUGCUGCCAGUACAGAAAGAGGAGGCGCAGUAAACCCACCCUUAUACAACUGAGCCCAAACCCUUUGCCUGCUCUGUAUUCUGAAUGGGGGCCAUGG